CCCGGGCAGUCCCAGGCAGCCCCUGGUGCCCAGAGCCAGAAGAGGGAAGCUUCUGACUGCGGUCCAGGCUGCGGGUGCGCACAACGGGCAGCUGAGGCUCCCACAUCCCGAGCGGCUCAGGCUGCCCUUCGACAAGGGCCAAACCAGGAGAGAAAGGAGUUAACCUGCCUGAGAAUGGGGGAGAGGGGUUCUGGGGUGGAGAGGGUGGUCCAGCUGCUACUACAGGAGUCCCAGCCAGAAGCCCUGACUUGAGUAGAGGUGGGGCCCACGUCUCCCUUCCCCCAUCCUUGGCCAAAUUUCCCUGGAGACCCCCUUGUCUGCUUCCAGUUUAGAUCAGAGCAAUAGCCUCUGCCCUUGGAAGCCCCUGCCCACCCCCACUUCCAGCAGGACCUGUUUUGCUUCCCCAGGUCCAGAAGGGGAAGCUCCAGCUCUGUCCCCCAUCUCUGGAUAGCCACACAGAGCUCCCACCUCCUCCAGGGGCUUUGGGAGGGAAUUUAACCCCUUUGCCUCUCCAGGGAGAAAGGGGCUAAACCUUACUGGUCAAAGGGACCAGGAAGAACAAGAUGGGGGUCAGGGCUCCAGGCUGGAGUCAAGAGUCCCAAGGGUCUGGAACUGACUCCUAAUGUGGCCCAAGGGGAGCCAGCAGGGAGGUCCUCAGAUCAUGUGGGAAGAUGCUGAUGGAGGACACAAAUGGCCAGUGAGCUGGGCUGGACGAGAGACCCCUUUGCAGGCAGGUCACUCUAGAGCUAGCUGGUUGAAGGCAUUUGGUGUUUCUGUCGGAGAACGUAGGGCACCUGCCACUCUGACGGUGUUGGGCCCAUGCUCAGGGUAUGCACUUAACCCCUCCCAGGCAUUAGUGGCCACAGAUACAGGCUCUCUGUGGCUGGGCCCUCAUUCCCUCCCCCACUGGCCUCUGCCCUCUGUGCCGUGCAGGUCAUGGGCUGGUGGGAAGAUACCCACAGCAGUGCUGGGAGACCAGUAUCUUGGUUUUGUGAGCAGGUACAGGGUGCUGGGGGGGCCUGCUCAGCCUGAGGGGUCUGCAAAGGCUCCCCUGAGGCAGAGCCACUUGCGCCCUGGGUUAGAAGAGAAACUGAGGUAGGGUGGGUAGUAUAUGCGAGAGGGUUGAGGGUGACAGGUCCUGGGGUAGAUGUAGGAGGAGGCAAGGUGGCUAGCUGGGGGUGGCCUGGUGUGAGGCAGCUGCCGCCCCGCCCCAGUCCCUCCCACGCCCAAGCCCUCGCCUGCCCCUCCUGUAGUGGGCAGCCACGUGGAGACCCGGGCACACGCGGAGGAGCGGCUCCUGAAGAGACUCUUCUCCGGCUACAACAAGUGGUCUCGGCCGGUGGCCAACAUCUCAGAUGUGGUCCUCGUGCGCUUCGGCCUGUCCAUUGCACAGCUCAUCGACGUGGUAGGUGGGCUGUAGCUGUCAUGGGCACUGAGGUCACCUGAAGGGAGCAUGGUGUCUGGGAAAAAGCCUUACAUGCUAGCAACGGGGGAUAGGCACCACCAGCUCUGGCCGCUGGGCCCAGCAAAAGGAUGACUCUGUGUAUUAGCUCAGGCCCUGCCCCCCAAUAGAGGAUAACUCAAAAGUGGCUGGAUUUUCAGCAGUGAGGCAGGGCACCUUCAGAAGCAAAGAAUAGAAGACACCUGCAUGGCAGGGGUGGGGGACAGUGACCUGGCUGGUCAGCACCAGGGCUUGGGGUCUUUUGCAAGGCAGAGCAGGCAGGCUUCACUCCUAAGCUUGGGCUGGUCUCAGAGGCCUCUCAUCCAUGGCUGUGGAAUUUGGGGUCUCGCCACAUUUUGGGCAGGUUCUGCUUGACCUGUGUGUUUACCUUCCUGGCAAGGGGCCCAGGAGGCUGCUGGAAGGACUUGGGCAUCCGGCAAAGGCCCCUACAAUGUGAGCCAGUGUCUGAGCAGCCCCAGUGGGGGCUUCAGCUUCAAGGCCCAGAGAACCAAGCUCAGGGCCUCUGCACAAUGGAGGUGCUUCGUUACCUUCCUAGAGCCUGGACCAGCUGCCUGAAUCCUGCCCUCCACCCACAGCUGCAGGACAAAGUUCUGGCUGUCCCUGGGUUGCCUCGUGCAGGGCGGUGUCUCUGGAGGGCCCUGGGUGAAAGGCAGUGGUUCUGGGUCUGUGGUUCUUGGCCAGCCUCAGCCACUCCACGUAGGGCAGGACCAUCCUUCAGGGUAUUUGACCAGCGGUGCACGGUCUGGGGGGUGCCCUGCUCCCAAGUUUGGCAAUACCCAAUCCCCUGCCCAUUAGGUUUGGCCUCAGAGUGGAGGCUCCAGCCUGGCUGGGAGGCAGGGAGGGCAGCUGUGGCCUCUGGAGCUGGGUCUGCUUGCCAGUGGGUUUGGAAGAGCUCCACACUGUGACGCAUGUGCGUGGCCAGCUCAUUCCCUACUGUCCUGUCCAGGGAGGGGGCCCAAAUAUGGGGAGGGGGAUUUGUCUGCUGCAGGGGCUGCAGACAGCCCCAAAUGCCCAGCCCACCCCUGCCAGGACCUCAACCCUGGAGUCCAGGGAGUCCACCUCAACCUUGUAUCCAGGCUGGGGCCGUGCAUGCAGAUGGCCCUGAACUUACGUGGAGUUCUCCCUGUGAGAGGACAGACUGCCCGCAAGGUGGAACCAGCCUGCGCGGAACCGUGCAUGGAGACACGGUAGGUCCACCCUAUCCAGAGCUGGGCACCCGGCCCUCCAACCUCAGGUGUCUUGGAACUGGCCCUGGAUGGAACUGGCCCUGGUGCCCAGCCAGGAGACAAUGCAAGAUAUAUGGGCCUCAUCAACCCUGCUGAGGUUUGCAAACAUGGUGCAGAGUGGUGGCUGACGAAGGCAGCUGUUGGCAGCUGCUGAAGGCUCCAGGUCUGCUAUGCUGAUGCCCACGGCCUCUGAGCUCACUGGGACUGCCCUGGCUCCCAUGCCACUGUAGUCCCCCAGGUUGCCCUGGACACAGUGAGGCCUGAGAACAUCCAGUUCCAGACUCCAUGAGGACCCUGGCGUCACUCCCAGCCCUGAUCUCCACCCUAGAGCUGGCUAAGGACACACGUGAACGUGCACACUCGUGUGUGGACAGCUCUGGGUGCUGGCCUGAGGCCCACGGUCAUGCUUGAGGUGGAAGGGGCUGCCUUUUGUCUGUCCCAGUCUUCCCCCCACCUUGGUGUUGGCCCUCCUGUGCCCCUUCUGUGGGGCUCAUGUGCUCGUGGCCAGGAUGGAGCCCUCCUGUGCUGUGCAUGGGGUCACACCCCGAGUAGCUGCCAAGGAGCCUUCAGAAGUUCCCAGGUUUCCAACCCACAGGGGCUGAUGCUGAGUCCUCCUGAAACAUUCCAGGCAUCCUUCAUCAGACUUGUGCGGAUACGUGGGGACCUGUCCUCCAGGAAUGAGGUCUCAUAGAGACAAGGUCUUUCAAGUAGCACAGGACUAGGCUGAUGACCAAGUGCUCUGCUGUGUCCUCCCAGGGAGGGGCCUGGCUCUGGCAGCUGGGUGACCUUCCCAGGUGUCUCCGCUGGAAGGUGGGACUUAGGACAGGGGCCUCAGGAGCUUAUCCCCAGGGAACAGCAAGGGAGGUACCAAGGGCUGUGUCCAGGGAUGGAGUCCCCAGCCACCCUGGUCCUGUUUGAGGCUCCAAGAUGCUUUUCCCAUUUACCAUUGUGAUUUCUCUGGCUAGAGUAGCUUUUCUGAUCGAGCCUGUUUGUCUCUGGUUGGAGUGAAGAGAAAAUUAGGGCUAUGAGAGGGGGAAGCCACCUUGCCAGGAUGCUGCCCACCAUGUCCUGUCCAGACUCUCCCAGCAGAGAAAGAGCCCCCACCCCAUGGACACCCCAUGCUCUCUGCAGUGCCUGUGCUUGCCCCAGAUGUGGCAGGUGUGGCUGCUGCCCUCUGGAGGUCAGCAUCCAGCACCCACAGAAUGGGGGCUUCCUGUCCCCAAGGACCCUGUGGCCUGCAUGGAGCCUAUGUCAUGACCGCCUGCUCCUCAUCAGAGGAAAAUGAAGGAGACUAGUCAAGGAUGAGAAGAACCAGAUGAUGACCACGAACGUGUGGGUGAAGCAGGAGUGGCAUGACUAUAAGCUGCGCUGGGACCCCGCUGACUAUGAGAACGUCACAUCCAUCCGCAUCCCCUCGGAGUUCAUCUGGCGGCCAGACAUCGUCCUCUACAACAAUGCGGAUGGGGACUUUGCAGUCACCCACCUGACCAAGGCUCACCUGUUCCACGACGGCCGGGUGCAGUGGACACCCCCGGCCAUCUACAAGAGCUCCUGCAGCAUCGACGUCACCUUCUUCCCCUUCGACCAGCAGAACUGCACCAUGAAGUUCGGCUCUUGGACCUACGACAAGGCCAAGAUCGACCUGGUGAGCAUGCACAGCCGUGUGGACCAGCGGGACUUCUGGGAGAGUGGGGAGUGGGUCAUCGUGGACGCGGUGGGCACCUACAACACCAGGAAGUAUGAAUGCUGCGCUGAGAUCUACCCCGACAUCACCUACGCCUUUGUGAUCCGGCGGCUGCCACUGUUCUACACGGUGAACCUCAUCAUCCCCUGCCUGCUCAUCUCCUGCCUCACCGUGCUGGUCUUCUACCUGCCGUCCGACUGCGGCGAGAAGGUCACACUGUGCAUCUCCGUGCUGCUGUCCCUCACCGUCUUCCUGCUGCUCAUCACCGAGAUCAUCCCGUCCACCUCACUGGUCAUCCCGCUCAUCGGCGAGUACCUGCUCUUCACCAUGAUCUUUGUCACCCUGUCCAUCGUCAUCACCGUCUUUGUGCUCAACGUGCACCACCGCUCACCACGUACCCACACCAUGCCCGCCUGGGUGCGCAGGGUCUUCCUGGACAUUGUGCCACGCCUGCUUCUCAUGAAGCGGCCGUCCACAGUCAAGGACAACUGCCGGCGGCUCAUCGAGUCCAUGCACAAGAUGGCCAAUGCCCCACGCCUCUGGCCUGCGCCUGAGGGGGAGCCCCCUGUCCUGGGCAGCACCCACGGCCUGGGCCAGCCACCCUCCCCAACCUGCCACACCCCUGUGGACGAGCCUGCCUGCGAGUUGCCCUCCUUGCCCUCUGACCUCCAGGCUCCACAGCCCUCAGAGGCUGAGAAGAUCAGCCCUCCACCCCAACCCCGGCCCCACAGUGCACAGGCCCCAGGGCUCACCAAAGUCAGGUCCCUCAGCGUCCAGCAGGUGUCCAGCCCCGGGGAAGUGGCAGAGGGCAGUGGCCGGUGCCGGUCUCGAAGCAUCCAGUACUGCAUCCUCCGAGACGACACUGUGUCUCAGGCCGAUGGCCAAGCGGCCAGCUCCCCAGCCUCCCAGAAGGCCCAUUUGGCAGAGCUCCCACCCCAAGACAAGCCCUCUCCCUGCAAGUGCACAUGCAAGAAGAAGCCACCCACAGCAUCCCCAGAAGCCACGCUCAAAGCCCACUGUGUCAGGCCACCACCCCAGCCCCUGCCCCUAUCGCCAGCCCUGACGCGGGCGGUCGAGGGCGUCCAGUACAUUGCAGACCAUCUGAAGGCAGAAGACACAGAUUUUUCCGCCCAGGACGCCUGUGUGGUGUGUCCUGAAGGCAGCUCUGAUGGAACUUGGGGUGCAGUCCAUGUCCUUGCAGAACAGAAGUGCCCAUCACACAAGGCAGACGGAAGAGCGAGGGAUGCCACAUGGGCACCCAGCCUAUCAGCGAGGAGCUGGCACCCCAGGUUGUCCCCAGAGAUGCUUUUCUACUGCUGGGCAGCCAGGUGGUUGCACCAGCCACCCAGAGCCUCUGCCUGCAGGGGUCAUGGGGUAGCCUCUUGGGUCAUGCCCAGGUGGAGGCAGGAACGGGACCUGGAGCAGUGCCAGGAUCCACAUUGACCUUUCCAGAUGUGUGACUGUGGUCCUGUCCCUAAGUCUCGAUGUCCCUGCACAUGAACAAAACUGUCCAGCUGAAGGUGAAGGAGGACUGGAAGUAUGUGGCCAUGGUGAUUGACCGUAUCUUCCUCUGGAUGUUUGUCAUCGUCUGCCUGCUGGGGACUGCGGGCCUCUUCCUGCCACCCUGGCUGGCUGGCAUGAUCUAGGCACA
Molecule: RNA transcript, 6023 nt
Organism: Nycticebus coucang (slow loris)
Lineage: Eukaryota; Metazoa; Chordata; Mammalia; Primates; Lorisidae
Gene: CHRNA4
Gene name: cholinergic receptor nicotinic alpha 4 subunit
Exons: 7
Source: RefSeq, a predicted model, not a curated record